UAAUAGUGAAUAAACCCUAAAAUAUCUUCCAAAUGAGCUGUAAUAGUAAAUUGACAAGUUUUUUUGACAGUAGAGCUGCAGUGAUUUGUAAAUCUCAAUUCAUCUCAAUUUGUUAUGGUCAUUUUAAAAAUACUUUUUUAAAAUUGAUGUAAUGUUAUUAAUUAAUGCUAACUAGUAACUGGAACAUAAUAACAUUUUAAUUGUGUCUUAGAUUUAAAAGGCAAUAAAGCAUAACACAUACAAACAAAUAAACUGCAGUGUCACAGUACUUACUGAAAUGGUACCAAGGACCUUACAUAUAUUUACAAAAGUGAGAAACACAGCACGCAAUUAGUCAUCAAACUACAAAACCAUGAACCAGCAGAGAGAGAGAGAAUAGCAACAGUGCUCAAUGUUUCUCUGCUUUCUUUUUUUUUUAUAACUUUCCCUUCUUCCUCGCUUUCAUUUAGUCCCAUAAAGCAGAGUUUUCAGUUGGCUUCAAAGCUCUUUGCAGAGCUCAGUUGGGGGCCUUCAAAGCCCCCUGUCUGUCGGCAGGUUUAGGCACAGAGAAAGCUUCUUGUUCUUUAAGGAUUUGGCUUACAAAUAACGCCCAGCCAGGGCCAAGGCAACUAGCUUGCACCCUGACAGGAUAGUAGACAGACUUCUGCAUUUUAGUGAUGUGUUUUGGGGGCUAUUCCUGCAUCUAUCUGAAAGUGAAGGCUUGGCCCUCUGCAGGCCUCCAUCAUACAGACACAGUGUCUGGCAAAGUGCUAGCAUUGGCCUCAAACAGGUAAUGCGGAGGAGAGAGAGAAAGAGCGAGGGAGAAGACACCGUGAAACAUUACACAGACCACAGCCGAUUUCCGAUGACCCAGCGAUGCUUUUUUCCUUUAAUGUCUGCACAUCGGAAUCGUACAAUUUCACCUCAAAAGUCUUGAUUUUAUAAUAGCAGGGAAACACAUGAAAUAAACAAUUUUAAUGAUAAAUUGAUAGUGAGGUGUUGUGUAGGUCUGUUGUCUAUUGUGUCUUAAGUGGAUUAACAGAGCGGUCAGUGAGACAGACAGCCAAAGUGGCAACCAUAACUAUUGUUUACAAGCUUGUGUCUCCUCUGUCACUUCAAAUUUUCAAUUUUAAUUUCUUAGACUUUCCCACAUUAGCGGGGGUGGAGUUAGUGCAAAAUUGUUGUAUACUUUUUUUAUAGAAGCAUGAAAGUUGACACAGUCACAUCUCACAAAUUUACGGACAUUGUAUACAUUUGUAGCGUCCUUAAUAUUGCUGCAUGUGGUCUGAUGGGAUUCUAUAGAUUUUAUUGUAAUCUACUAUUAUUUCAACGUAGUUUUAUAACAGAUACAAUGCUAAUGCAUAAUAUAAAAUUCAGGAUUUCUGAUUCUGGUCUCUACAUGCCAUGCAGCAUGCAAAAAAAAGAACUG
Sander lucioperca (pikeperch) is the source of this 1408-nucleotide long non-coding RNA. RefSeq lists it as uncharacterized. The transcript has 3 exons. Lineage: Eukaryota; Metazoa; Chordata; Actinopteri; Perciformes; Percidae. The record is from RefSeq and is a predicted model, not a curated record.